RNAcentral lists this ribosomal RNA (319 nucleotides) under uncultured eukaryote. Its description in RNAcentral is "partial 18S ribosomal RNA". It matches the Rfam family "Eukaryotic small subunit ribosomal RNA", at positions 1470 to 1796 of the family's 1831-position model. The record is from RNAcentral.
CCCUUAGAUGUUCUGGGCAGCACGCGCGCUACAAUGGUCUUCGCAAACGGAUGCAUUCUCGAAGGAGAAUGCCAAUCUUGGAAUCUAUGCCUUGGUCGGGACAGUUGCUUGCAAUUUUUCGACUCGAACCAGGAAUUCCUUGUAAUCGUGAUUCAUCACAUCACGAUGAAUACGUCCCUGCCCUUUGUACACACCGCCCGUCGCUCCUACCGAUCGAAGAGUUAGGUGAAUUGUUUUGAUCGAUAAGAUUUGACUAUGGUCAACUCUCGUUGUGAAAUUCUGUGAAUCUGACCGUUUAGAGGAAGGAAAAGUCGUAACA